GACGAACGCUGGCGGCGUGCUUAACACAUGCAAGUCGAGGGGUCUCCGCAAGGAGGCACCGGCGAACGGGUGCGUAACACGUGAGCGACCUGCCGUACCUGUGGGGGAUAGCCGGCCCAACGGCCGGGUAAUACCGCAUACGCUUGCCUUGGGGCAUUCUGAGGCAAAGAAAGCUGGGGGGCAACCCUGGCGCAGGACGAGGGGCUCGCGGCCUAUCAGCUAGUUGGCGGGGUAACGGCCCACCAAGGCGGUGACGGGUAGCUGGUCUGAGAGGGCGCACGGACACACUGGAACUGAAACACGGUCCAGACUCCUACGGGAGGCAGCAGUGGGGAAUUUUGCGCAAUGGGGGAAACCCUGACGCAGCAACGCCGCGUGGAGGAUGAAGUCUCUUGGGACGUAAACUCCUUUCGACAGGGACGAUAAUGACGGUACCUGUAGAAGAAGCCCCGGCUAACUUCGUGACAGCAGCCGCUGUAAC
This 481-nucleotide ribosomal RNA is filed under the name uncultured bacterium. RNAcentral describes it as "bacterial SSU rRNA". It matches the Rfam family "Bacterial small subunit ribosomal RNA", at positions 28 to 524 of the family's 1533-position model. The record is from RNAcentral.